This 434-nucleotide ribosomal RNA is filed under the name uncultured Ruminococcus sp. RNAcentral's name for it is "partial 16S ribosomal RNA". It matches the Rfam family "Bacterial small subunit ribosomal RNA", at positions 341 to 792 of the family's 1533-position model. The record is from RNAcentral. Lineage: Bacteria; Bacillati; Bacillota; Clostridia; Eubacteriales; Oscillospiraceae.
ACGGGAGGCAGCAGUGGGGGAUAUUGCACAAUGGGCGCAAGCCUGAUGCAGCGAUGCCGCGUGAGGGAAGAAGGUUUUCGGAUUGUAAACCUCUGUCAUCGGGGACGAUAAUGACUGUACCCGAGAAGGAAGCUCCGGCUAACCACGUGCCAGCAGCCGCGGUAAUACGUAGGGAGCAAGCGUUAUCCGGAAUUACCGGGUGUAAAGGGAGUGUAGGCGGGACUGUAAGUCAGAUGUGAAAUAUACCGGCUCAACUGGUAGACUGCAUUGGAAACUGCGGAGCUUGAGUGAAGGAGAGGUAAGCGGAAGUCCUAGUGUAGCGGUGAAAUGCGUAGAUAUUAGGAGGAACAUCAGUGGCGAAGGCGGCUUACUGGGCUUUAACUGACGCUGAGGCUCGAAAGCGUGGGGAGCAAACAGGAUUAGAUACCCUGGUA